GCUCAGUUGCUCCCAGCAGUGGCCCUGGGGCCAGCUCUGCUCCUUGCAUCCCGCUCCCUGCUUGGACACAGGCUCACUCGCUGCCUUCUUCUGGGAAACCAGCUUCUUGCCAGCCACAGCUGCUACUCCCACCACCAGCCACCACUCCUGUCCUGGGAAUCCCUUGUCCCAGACACCCACCUCAUUCAGUGGCUCCUCUACAGGAAAGUGCAGAAUUUCCCAGGGAGAUGGCAGUGUCCAGAAAGUGCCAGGAUUUAAGUUUACCUCAAAAAUGGAAAAUUUUGGCUGGGAAAAUUACAUGUGGGAAGACAUCUUCAGUGGAGAUUUUAGUAAUUACAGUUUCAGCUAUGACCCUACCCCUUUUCUACUAGAUUCUGCCCCAUGUUGGCCAGAAUCCCUAGAAAUCAAUUAUGUUUUGAUCAUCAUCUAUGCCCUGAUGUUUCUACUGAACGUGAUGUGAAACUCCCUGCCGAUGCUGGUCAUCUUAUUCAGCUGAGUCAGCCACUGUCACCGAUGUCUACCUGCUGACCCUGGCCUUGGCCGACCUGUUCUUUUCCCUGACAUUGCCCAUCUUGGCUGCCUCCAAGAUGAAUGGCUGGAUUUUUGGCACAAUCUGUGCCAGGUGGUCUAGCUCCUGAAGGAAGUCAACUUCUACGGUGGUAUUCUACUACUGGCCUGCCGCAGCAUGGACUGUUACCUGGCCAUUGUCCAUGCCACACGCACACUGACCCAGCAGCGCCACUUGGUCAAGUUCAUAUGUCUGGGUUUGUGGAACCUGUUCCUGUUACUGUCCCUACGCAUCUUGCUUUUCCGAAGGACCUUCUACCCAUCCAAUGUUAGCCCAGUCUGCUAUGAGGACAUGGGCAACAAUACAGCAAACUGGUGGAUGCUGUUACGGAUCCUGCCCCAGUCCUUUGGCUUCAUCGUGCCGCUGCGAUCAUGCUGUUCUGCUACAGAUUCACCCUGCAUACGCUGUUUAAGGCCCAUAUGGGGCAGAAGCACUGGACCAUGUGGGUCAUCUUUGCUGUUGUCCUCAUUUUCCUGCUCUGCUGGCUGCCCUACAACCUGGUCCUGCUGGCAGACACCCUCAUGGGAACCCAGAUGACCAAUGAGACCUGUGAGCGCCGCAACGACAUCAACCAGGCCCUGGAUGCCACUGAGAUUCUGGGCAUCCUUCACAGCUACCUCAAUCCCCUCAUCUACGCCUUCAUUGGCCAGAAGUUUUGCCAUGGACUUCUCAAGAUUAUAGCCAUACACGGCUUGAUCAGCAAGGACUCCCUGCCCAAAGACAGCAGGCCUUCCUUUGUUGGCUCUUCUUCAGGGCACACUUCCACUACUCUCUAAGACCUCUUGCCUAAGUGCAGUCCCGUGGGGUUCCUCCCUUCUCUUCACAGUCACAUUCCAAGCCUCAUGUCCACUAGCUCUUCUUGGUCUCAGUGUCAGUGCAGCCCCCACUGUGGUCGCAGGAAGCAGAGGAGGCCACGUUCUUACUAGUUUCCCUUGCAUGAUUUAGAAAGCCUGCCCUGGUACCUCACCCCUUGCCAUAAUUACUACAUCACUUGCUGGAGCUCUGUCCCUCCUGCCCUUGAGCUCAUGGCACUCUAUGUUCUAAGAAGUGAAAAUCUACACUCCAGUGAGACAGCUCUGCAUACUCAUUAGGAUGGUUAAUGUCAGAAGAAAGAAAAUCAUAAAAUAGAAGGUGUCCACAAAGGUGCAGAGAAAGUGGAAUUCUCGGGCAUCGUGAGCGGGAAUGUAAAAUGUUGUGGCCACUGCGGAAGACAGUAUGGCAUCUUUCCUCAAAACAUCAGACAUAGAAUUACCACAUGAUCCUGCAAUUCCACUUGUAGUAAUUGACCCACAAGAAGUGAAAGCAGGGACUUGAACACAUAUUUGUACACCAAUAUUCAUAGCUGCUUAUUCAUAAGACCCAAAAGGCAGAAACAACCCAAAUGUUCAUCAAUGAAUGAAUGAAUGAAUGGCUAAACAAGAUGUGAUGUGUACAAUGUUCAUCAAUGAAUGCAUGGCUAAGCAAAAUGUGAUAUGUACAUAACGAAGUAUCCUUCAGCCUGAAAGAGGAAUGAAGUACUCAUACUUGUUACAACACGGACGAACCUUGAAAACUUCAUGCUAAGUGAAAUAAGCCAGACAUAAACAGAUAAAUAGUUUAUGAUUCCACUUACAUGAGGUACUGAGAGUGAACAAAUUCACAGAGACAGAAAGCAGAACAGUGAUUACCAGGGACUGAGGGGAGGGGAGUAUGGGGAGUGAUGGUUUAAUGGGCACAGAGUUUAUGUUUGGGAUGUUGAAAAAGUUGUAAAGAUAAACAGUAGUGAUAGUUGUACAAUAAUGUCUGAGUACUUAAUGCCACUAAACUGUACACUUAAAUGUCUAAAAUGGUAAAAUUUUAUGUAUAUUUUACCUCAAUUAAAAAGAAAACACCUUGGCCCCCAAAGGUACUUUUGCCAAAGAACCAAGGCUGAAAUUUCUUGCUAAAUGAGAUAAUUAAAUGUCUUUCAUUGCUUAAACCA
This is a long non-coding RNA of Homo sapiens (human), 2528 nucleotides long. Lineage: Eukaryota; Metazoa; Chordata; Mammalia; Primates; Hominidae. The record is from Ensembl.